This 2923-nucleotide ribosomal RNA is filed under the name Klebsiella pneumoniae subsp. pneumoniae KPNIH27. Its description in RNAcentral is "bacterial LSU rRNA". It matches the Rfam family "Bacterial large subunit ribosomal RNA". The record is from RNAcentral. Lineage: Bacteria; Pseudomonadati; Pseudomonadota; Gammaproteobacteria; Enterobacterales; Enterobacteriaceae.
GGGUUGUGAGGUUAAGCGACUAAGCGUACACGGUGGAUGCCCUGGCAGUCAGAGGCGAUGAAGGACGUGCUAAUCUGCGAAAAGCGUCGGUAAGGUGAUAUGAACCGUUAUAACCGACGAUGUCCGAAUGGGGAAACCCAGUGUGAUUCGUCACACUAUCGUUAACUGAAUACAUAGGUUAACGAGGCGAACCGGGGGAACUGAAACAUCUAAGUACCCCGAGGAAAAGAAAUCAACCGAGAUUCCCCCAGUAGCGGCGAGCGAACGGGGAGCAGCCCAGAGUCUGAAUCAGCUUGUGUGUUAGUGGAACGGUCUGGAAAGUCCGACGGUACAGGGUGAUAGUCCCGUACACCAAAAUGCACAGGUUGUGAACUCGAAGAGUAGGGCGGGACACGUGGUAUCCUGUCUGAAUAUGGGGGGACCAUCCUCCAAGGCUAAAUACUCCUGACUGACCGAUAGUGAACCAGUACCGUGAGGGAAAGGCGAAAAGAACCCCGGCGAGGGGAGUGAAAAAGAACCUGAAACCGUGUACGUACAAGCAGUGGGAGCACCUUCGGGUGUGACUGCGUACCUUUUGUAUAAUGGGUCAGCGACUUAUAUUCUGUAGCAAGGUUAACCGUAUAGGGGAGCCGCAGGGAAACCGAGUCUUAACUGGGCGUUAAGUUGCAGGGUAUAGACCCGAAACCCGGUGAUCUAGCCAUGGGCAGGUUGAAGGUUGGGUAACACUAACUGGAGGACCGAACCGACUAAUGUUGAAAAAUUAGCGGAUGACUUGUGGCUGGGGGUGAAAGGCCAAUCAAACCGGGAGAUAGCUGGUUCUCCCCGAAAGCUAUUUAGGUAGCGCCUCGUGAAUUCAUCUUCGGGGGUAGAGCACUGUUUCGGCUAGGGGGUCAUCCCGACUUACCAACCCGAUGCAAACUACGAAUACCGAAGAAUGUUAUCACGGGAGACACACGGCGGGUGCUAACGUCCGUCGUGAAGAGGGAAACAACCCAGACCGCCAGCUAAGGUCCCAAAGUCAUGGUUAAGUGGGAAACGAUGUGGGAAGGCACAGACAGCCAGGAUGUUGGCUUAGAAGCAGCCAUCAUUUAAAGAAAGCGUAAUAGCUCACUGGUCGAGUCGGCCUGCGCGGAAGAUGUAACGGGGCUAAACCAUGCACCGAAGCUGCGGCAGCGACACUAUGUGUUGUUGGGUAGGGGAGCGUUCUGUAAGCCUGCGAAGGUGUGCUGUGAGGCAUGCUGGAGGUAUCAGAAGUGCGAAUGCUGACAUAAGUAACGAUAAAGCGGGUGAAAAGCCCGCUCGCCGGAAGACCAAGGGUUCCUGUCCAACGUUAAUCGGGGCAGGGUGAGUCGACCCCUAAGGCGAGGCCGAAAGGCGUAGUCGAUGGGAAACAGGUUAAUAUUCCUGUACUUGGUGUUACUGCGAAGGGGGGACGGAGAAGGCUAUGUUAGCCGGGCGACGGUUGUCCCGGUUUAAGCAUGUAGGCUGAUUGUCCAGGCAAAUCCGGAUAAUCAAGGCUGAGGUGUGAUGACGAGGCACUACGGUGCUGAAGUAACAAAUGCCCUGCUUCCAGGAAAAGCCUCUAAGCAUCAGGUAACAUCAAAUCGUACCCCAAACCGACACAGGUGGUCAGGUAGAGAAUACCAAGGCGCUUGAGAGAACUCGGGUGAAGGAACUAGGCAAAAUGGUGCCGUAACUUCGGGAGAAGGCACGCUGGUGUGUAGGUGAAGUCCCUGCGGAUGGAGCUGAGACCAGUCGAAGAUACCAGCUGGCUGCAACUGUUUAUUAAAAACACAGCACUGUGCAAACACGAAAGUGGACGUAUACGGUGUGACGCCUGCCCGGUGCCGGAAGGUUAAUUGAUGGGGUUAUCCGUAAGGAGAAGCUCUUGAUCGAAGCCCCGGUAAACGGCGGCCGUAACUAUAACGGUCCUAAGGUAGCGAAAUUCCUUGUCGGGUAAGUUCCGACCUGCACGAAUGGCGUAAUGAUGGCCAGGCUGUCUCCACCCGAGACUCAGUGAAAUUGAACUCGCUGUGAAGAUGCAGUGUACCCGCGGCAAGACGGAAAGACCCCGUGAACCUUUACUAUAGCUUGACACUGAACAUUGAGCCUUGAUGUGUAGGAUAGGUGGGAGGCUUUGAAGCGUGGACGCCAGUCUGCGUGGAGCCAACCUUGAAAUACCACCCUUUAAUGUUUGAUGUUCUAACGUUGGCCCCUUACCGGGGUUGCGGACAGUGUCUGGUGGGUAGUUUGACUGGGGCGGUCUCCUCCCAAAGCGUAACGGAGGAGCACGAAGGUUAGCUAAUCCUGGUCGGACAUCAGGAGGUUAGUGCAAUGGCAUAAGCUAGCUUGACUGCGAGCGUGACGGCGCGAGCAGGUGCGAAAGCAGGUCAUAGUGAUCCGGUGGUUCUGAAUGGAAGGGCCAUCGCUCAACGGAUAAAAGGUACUCCGGGGAUAACAGGCUGAUACCGCCCAAGAGUUCAUAUCGACGGCGGUGUUUGGCACCUCGAUGUCGGCUCAUCACAUCCUGGGGCUGAAGUAGGUCCCAAGGGUAUGGCUGUUCGCCAUUUAAAGUGGUACGCGAGCUGGGUUUAGAACGUCGUGAGACAGUUCGGUCCCUAUCUGCCGUGGGCGCUGGAGAAUUGAGGGGGGCUGCUCCUAGUACGAGAGGACCGGAGUGGACGCAUCACUGGUGUUCGGGUUGUCAUGCCAAUGGCACUGCCCGGUAGCUAAAUGCGGAAGAGAUAAGUGCUGAAAGCAUCUAAGCACGAAACUUGCCCCGAGAUGAGUUCUCCCUGAGACUUUAAGUCUCCUGAAGGAACGUUGAAGACGACGACGUUGAUAGGCCGGGUGUGUAAGCGCAGCGAUGCGUUGAGCUAACCGGUACUAAUGAACCGUGAGGCUUAACCUUACAACGCCGAAG